UGGGGAAUAUUGCACAAUGGGCGAAAGCCUGAUGCAGCAACGCCGCGUGAGCGAUGAAGGCCUUCGGGUCGUAAAGCUCUGUCCUCAAGGAAGAUAAUGACGGUACUUGAGGAGGAAGCCCCGGCUAACUACGUGCCAGCAGCCGCGGUAAUACGUAGGGGGCUAGCGUUAUCCGGAAUUACUGGGCGUAAAGGGUGCGUAGGCGGUCUUUCAAGCCAGAAGUGAAAGGCUACGGCUCAACCGUAGUAAGCUUUUGGAACUGUAAGACUUGAGUGCAGGAGAGGAGAGUGGAAUUCCUAGUGUAGCGGUGAAAUGCGUAGAUAUUAGGAGGAACACCAGUAGCGAAGGCGGCUCUCUGGACUGUAACUGACGCUGAGGCACGAAAGCGUGGGGAGCAAACAGGAUUAGAUACCCUGGUAGUCCACGCCGUAAACGAUGAGUACUAGGUGUCGGGGGUUACCCCCCUCGGUGCCGCAGCUAACGCAUUAAGUACUCCGCCUGGGAAGUACGCUCGCAAGAGUG
Molecule: ribosomal RNA, 522 nt
Filed under: uncultured bacterium
Lineage: Bacteria
Description: bacterial SSU rRNA
Rfam family: Bacterial small subunit ribosomal RNA
Source: RNAcentral